UACGAAGGGGGCUAGCGUUGUUCGGAUUUACUGGGCGUAAAGCGCACGUAGGCGGAUUGGUAAGUUAGAGGUGAAAUCCCGAAGCUCAACUUCGGAACUGCCUUUAAUACUGCCAGUCUAGAGUCCGGAAGAGGUGAGUGGAACUCCUAGUGUAGAGGUGGAAUUCGUAGAUAUUAGGAAGAACACCAGUGGCGAAGGCGGCUCACUGGUCCGGUACUGACGCUGAGGUGCGAAAGCGUGGGGAGCAAACAGG
This 253-nucleotide ribosomal RNA is filed under the name uncultured bacterium. RNAcentral's name for it is "partial 16S ribosomal RNA". It matches the Rfam family "Bacterial small subunit ribosomal RNA", at positions 524 to 776 of the family's 1533-position model. The record is from RNAcentral.